AGAACGAACGCUGGCGGCAGGCCUAACACAUGCAAGUCGAACGCCCUAGCAAUAGGGAGUGGCAGACGGGUGAGUAACGCGUGGGAACCUUCCCUAUAGUACGGAAUAUACCAGGGAAACUUGGAGCAAUACCGUAUACGCCCGAAAGGGAAGAUUUAUCGCUAUAGGAUGGGCCCGCGUAGGAUUAGCUAGUUGGUGAGGUAAUGGCUCACCAAGGCGACGACCCUUAGCUGGUCUGAGAGGAUGAUCAGCCACACUGGGACUGAGACACGGCCCAGACUCCUACGGGAGGCAGCAGUGGGGAAUAUUGGGCAAGUGGGCGCAAGCCUGACCCAGCCAUGCCGCGUGAGUGACGACGGCCUUAGGGUUGUAAAGCUCUUUUGGCGGGACGAUAAUGACGGUACCGCAGAAUAAGCCCGGCUAACUCGCGCCAGCAGCCGC
Molecule: ribosomal RNA, 441 nt
Filed under: uncultured soil bacterium
Lineage: Bacteria
Description: bacterial SSU rRNA
Rfam family: Bacterial small subunit ribosomal RNA
Source: RNAcentral